GCGGGCGUGGCGGAAUUGGCAGACGCAGCGGACUUAAAAUCCGCUUCUGGCAACAGAGUACCGGUUCGAUCCCGGUCGCCCGCACCA
Molecule: transfer RNA, 87 nt
Filed under: Roseomonas fluvialis
Lineage: Bacteria; Pseudomonadati; Pseudomonadota; Alphaproteobacteria; Acetobacterales; Roseomonadaceae
Description: Roseomonas sp. S08 tRNA-Leu
Rfam family: tRNA
About the family: Transfer RNA (tRNA) molecules are approximately 80 nucleotides in length. Their secondary structure includes four short double-helical elements and three loops (D, anti-codon, and T loops). Further hydrogen bonds mediate the characteristic L-shaped molecular structure. tRNAs have two regions of fundamental functional importance: the anti-codon, which is responsible for specific mRNA codon recognition, and the 3' end, to which the tRNAs corresponding amino acid is attached (by aminoacyl-tRNA synthetases). tRNAs cope with the degeneracy of the genetic code in two manners: having more than one tRNA (with a specific anti-codon) for a particular amino acid; and 'wobble' base-pairing, i.e. permitting non-standard base-pairing at the 3rd anti-codon position.
Source: RNAcentral